UACUCCCGCCGGCGACCGGCGCACGGGUGAGUAACACGUAUGAAACCUGCCCGUAGCAGGGGGAUAAGCGGAAGAAAUUCCGUCUAAUACCGCGUAACAACCCGAGGAGGCAUCUCCUCGGGUUUAAAGGAAGCGAUUCCGGCUACGGAUGGUCAUGCGUCGCAUUAGCUAGUUGGNGGGGUAACGGCCCACCAAGGCGACGAUGCGUAGGGGUUCUGAGAGGAAGGUCCCCCACACUGGUACUGAGACACGGACCAGACUCCUACGGGAGGCAGCAG
Molecule: ribosomal RNA, 278 nt
Filed under: uncultured bacterium
Lineage: Bacteria
Description: partial 16S ribosomal RNA
Rfam family: Bacterial small subunit ribosomal RNA
Source: RNAcentral